Molecule: unclassified non-coding RNA, 240 nt
Filed under: soil metagenome
Description: partial contains 5.8S ribosomal RNA, internal transcribed spacer 2, and large subunit ribosomal RNA
Source: RNAcentral
AACAUCGCGCACCUGCGGGAACCUGCGGAAGGAUCAUUACAGAGUUGCAAGACUCCCUAAACCAUUGUGAACGUUACCUAAACCGUUGCUUCGGCGGGCGGCCCGGGUCCUUCCCGGCGCCCCUCGGCCCUCGCGGGCGCCCGCCGGAGGUAAACCAAACUAUUGCAUUGUAUGGCCUCUCUGAGUCUUCUGUACUGAAUAAGUCAAAACUUUCAACAACGGAUCUCAGAUCGGAAGAGC